This 69-nucleotide transfer RNA is filed under the name Ictidomys tridecemlineatus (thirteen-lined ground squirrel). RNAcentral describes it as "Spermophilus tridecemlineatus (thirteen-lined ground squirrel) tRNA". It matches the Rfam family "tRNA". From Rfam's summary of the family: Transfer RNA (tRNA) molecules are approximately 80 nucleotides in length. Their secondary structure includes four short double-helical elements and three loops (D, anti-codon, and T loops). Lineage: Eukaryota; Metazoa; Chordata; Mammalia; Rodentia; Sciuridae. The record is from Rfam by way of RNAcentral.
GGGAUUGUGGCUCAAUGGUAGAGUGCUUGCCUAGCAUGCAUGAGACCCUGGGUGUGAGUCUCAGCACCA